ACCUUAGUCACGUAUACUUAGCCGUUCUGCGUGGCAGCGGUCAUUUCAUCGUAAACCAAGUUAUGAAAGCGCACGAAACCGCGACUGAAAUCACUAGGACUCUCCUACGCGGGCGAUGCGCAGUCUGGGAGGAGCCCAGUUCUGAUCCCAACUUUAACACCAUUAUGGAAGAGUUCCAGUCCGAAAAAAAUACGGAAAAAUCGACGCAAUCAUCCCGGAUGUCGAUUCAGACUGCUCGCUGGACGCACGCCUAUCAGAAAUACAGGUUUGCACUAAAGGAGCCUGCGGAAGAAUUGAGUGGACACAAGACUGGGCUGUCAAUCUCAACACCAUCAUCAAUCUGCAUUUACACCUCAACAUCAGGAAGACAGGUGGACCAAUAGAAGUGGCCUCCAUACAAUCAAUUUAUCUGCUGCCCGAAAAUAUCAAGCCUGGAUUGGACGGUUCCAAGAUCGAGUUCUACACCGAUUUCAGCAAUGCUCGUUUUGACUGUGACGGUGUGAUUAUGGAUGACCUAAAAACGAAACCAAGAAGCGCAGACUGCGACUUGAUUGAAAGCCUAAAUUUUGUCCCGUACGGUGCAACAUCAUUUGCGACGGAGUAUGAAUUUGUUCGUGCGUGUUUCGAAGUAGUCCUAGAGAAUUCAACUCAGGCAAACAUGGAAGAUAAAAAAAUCACCAUUUGCAAACAAACAAAUGAAUCGAUUGUUAACCAAGUCUUUAACUGGUUAAAAGAUGCCGGCAUCUCAUUCAGCAGCAAACAGCAGCAGAUUCAGGUGGAAGAGAGCACAUUCUCUGAUGGACCGAAAUCGUCUGAUGGGCAUGUGUCAAUUUUAUGGAACGCCGGUGACAGCAAGCUACAAUUACCAUGUUUUAAUAACGUAGAUAACAUGUAUUUGAUGGUGAUUUCGCCGCAUAAAACCCGCAACGUUGUUGGAGUUGGAUAUGCGUCUAUUUACGAGCAAAUUAUCGGCACGUAUAGAUUUACUCUAUUCAAAAAGGUCAAGAACGUGUCGAAGCCGCGGUCAUUCAAAGUGGAUAAAAAUUGGAGACUCAGCGUCAAAAAUUUGAAAAAGGAUGGAACUCAACCGGGAGAAACUGUUCUCCUGCACAUUGAUGAUCCUGCGCUCGCAAACCCGCUUUUCCCUGUGAGAGAUAUCUUGAAUGAGCUAGUCGAUUACAACGCCAGGUGUUAUAUCAUCCUGGACAAAAAUGUCCCCGGGCCAGCCGAUGUGCGAAGUCAUAGGAUAUACGAUCCGCAAAUUCAGAGAGAUGUGGUAGUGAAUGUGCUCUUGGAUGGUCGUUGGGGGCGCUAUCAAAAACAGGAGAUUCCCAAAGCAGUCCUGACGCGAGUGUUGCCCACCACGAAGGAACCCGACCGCAAUAAUUCGGAAGAAGUCGACAUCAAAUACCUCGGCCUCAACGAAAUACACUACGAUGGCAGUGAGGUAUGUUCUCUUCCUGACAGGGUGAAGUGCUAGGAUCCACUUACAAAAUGAUACACCUUCUGCACCGUAAUACAGUUAAGGGGCCCUUCGAGUAUUUCGUAAGGAACUUAGGGGGGGGGGGGGAGUCUGAGCUUGUCUUACGGAGCCUUACGAAGGGGGGGGGGGGUUCAAGCCGAGUCUUACAUAAGCUUUUCGUUGUCCAAAAACACCCCUAAUAGUCCACAGAAGUCCCCAAUUUUGAUUUUUUUAUAACUGGUAAACACCCUGACGGUUAAAUUUCAAUUAUUUGUUUCUUUUCUUUUGCCGAUUUUCAUCAAAAUACAAAACUUACAUUUAUUCUAGCUAUUUUACCAGGAUUUCUCGGUUUUUUCUGAACAAAUGGGG
RNAcentral lists this long non-coding RNA (1831 nucleotides) under Bemisia tabaci. Its description in RNAcentral is "lncRNA ENSSSA1NGG013351". The record is from RNAcentral. Lineage: Eukaryota; Metazoa; Arthropoda; Insecta; Hemiptera; Aleyrodidae.